AUCGUGUCUGCCUCAUACUUUUUAUCGUUGGCCUCAGAUCAGGGAGGAUCACCCGCCGAAUUUAA
This 65-nucleotide ribosomal RNA is filed under the name Leptidea duponcheli. RNAcentral's name for it is "partial 28S ribosomal RNA". The record is from RNAcentral. Lineage: Eukaryota; Metazoa; Arthropoda; Insecta; Lepidoptera; Pieridae.